CAUUCGUGUGGCGGACGGGUGAGUAACGCGUGGGUAACCUGCCUUACACAGGGGGAUAACACCUGGAAACAGGUGCUAAUACCGCAUAAGCGCACAGGGCCGCAUGGCCCGGUGUAAAAAACUCCGGUGGUGUAAGAUGGACCCGCGUCUGAUUAGCUUGUUGGCGGGGUAGGGGCCCACCAGGGCGACGAUCAGUAGCCGGCCUGAGAGGGUGGACGGCCACAUUGGGACUGAGACACGGCCCAAACUCCUACGGGAGGCAGCAG
Molecule: ribosomal RNA, 266 nt
Filed under: uncultured bacterium
Lineage: Bacteria
Description: partial 16S ribosomal RNA
Rfam family: Bacterial small subunit ribosomal RNA
Source: RNAcentral